AACGCGAAGAACCUUACCUGGGCUUGACAUGUACUGGAAGAGUGGCAGAAAUGUCCUCGCUCGCAAGAGCCGGUACACAGGUGCUGCAUGGCUGUCGUCAGCUCGUGUCGUGAGAUGUUGGGUUAAGUCCCGCAACGAGCGCAACCCUUGCCUUUAGUUGCCAGCAUUAAGUUGGGCACUCUAAAGGGACUGCCGACGUUAAGUCGGAGGAAGGUGGGGAUGACGUCAAGUCCUCAUGGCCCUUAUGUCCAGGGCUACACACGUGAUACAAUGGUGGUCACAGAGUGAAGCAAUGUCGCAAGACCUAGCAAAUCACUUAAAAGCCAUCUAAGUUCAGAUUGGAGUCUGCAACUCGACUCCAUGAAGGCGGAAUCGCUAGUAAUCGCGGAUCAGAACGCCGCGGUGAAUACGUUCCCGGGCCUUGUACACACCGAUAGC
Molecule: ribosomal RNA, 438 nt
Filed under: uncultured bacterium
Lineage: Bacteria
Description: bacterial SSU rRNA
Rfam family: Bacterial small subunit ribosomal RNA
Source: RNAcentral